Apus apus (common swift) is the source of this 2576-nucleotide RNA transcript. It is a transcript of the gene named fucosyltransferase 11, with no coding region annotated. The transcript has 4 exons. The record is from RefSeq and is a predicted model, not a curated record. NCBI's taxonomy places the organism in Eukaryota, Metazoa, Chordata, Aves, Apodiformes, Apodidae.
AUGGAGGGCGGCCGGGCGGGCCGCGCUGCGCGGCGGGGCCGCGCCUGGCUCUGGGUCAGCGUGGCGCUGGCCUGGGGCGCGGGCAGCGCGCUGGCGGCGGGGCCGGGGGCAGAGGAGGAGGCGGCCGGGCUGGCAGGCGCCCGGGAGCCGUGCGGGGCGGAGGGCUGGGCUCCGGGUGCCGUCCCGCCGGGCGCGGCCUUCGUCGCCGCCGCUUCAUACCGCGGUCCCGGCAACAACGACACGCGGAGCAACAAGGCUCUGCCUAUCCUGCUGUGGUGGAGCGGGAGCCUCUUUCCCCACUUCCCCGGCGACACGGAGCGGAUCGACUGCCCGCGCGGCUCCUGCCUCGUCACCCGCAGCCGGCGGGCGGCCCGGCACCGCCGCACCAAGGCGCUCAUCUUCUACGGCACGGACUUCAGGGCCUACGAGGCGCCGCUGCCCCGCCUGGCCCACCAGACCUGGGCGCUCUUCCACGAAGAGUCCCCCAUGAACAACUACCUCCUCUCCCACCCGCCCGGCAUCCAGCUCUUCAACUACACGGCCACCUUCCGCCGGGAGUCCGACUACCCGCUGACGCUGCAGUGGCUGCCCGGCGCGGAGUACCUGCGGGGCCCGGCGCUGCCGCUGGCCGAGAAGGACGCGUGGCGGCGGAAGGGCUAUGCCCCGGUGCUGUACAUGCAGUCCCACUGCGAUGUCCCCUCGGACAGGGACCGCUACGUGCGGGAGCUCAUGAAAUACAUCCAGGUUGACUCCUACGGGAAAUGCCUGCAUAACCGUGAGCUUCCCAGUGAGCGACUGAGCGACACUUCUACAGCCACUACGGAAGAUUCUGAAUUUAUGACUUUUAUUGCCAGGUACAAGUUUCAUCUGGCCAUGGAGAAUGCCAUAUGUGAUGACUACAUGACAGAGAAGCUGUGGCGUCCAAUGCACUUGGGUGCUGUUCCAGUAUACCGAGGCUCCCCAGCUGUGCGGGACUGGAUGCCAAACAACCUCUCCAUCAUUCUCAUAGACGACUUUGACAGCCCUCAAGAGCUGGCAAAGUAUCUUGAUUUCCUGGACAAGAAUGGAGAGGAGUAUAUGAAGUAUCUAGAGUAUAAAAAACCUGGUGGAGUAAAAAAUCAGUUCUUGCUAGAGAGCUUGGCGAGGCGGGAGUGGGGUGUGAAUGACAUGACUCUGCCCAAUUAUCUGAAUGGCUUUGAGUGUUUCAUCUGUGACAGGGAGAACACCCGGGUCAAAUGGGAGCAGGAACACAAAAAGUCUCAUGGGAAGAUUCCAGCUCCCAGACCUCACAUAGCUCAGUUCCAGCAUAUGGGAUGUCCUAUGCCAACCCCUGGUUUCGGAAGCGUUGAAGACCUCUCUGGAGGAGACAGUUGGAAAGAGAUGUGGCUGCAGGAUUACUGGCAAAGCCUUGAUCAGGGUGAGGCCCUCACUGCUAUGAUUCAUCGCAAUGAGUCACAUCAGGGAAGAUUUUGGGACUAUAUGCAUGAGAUUUUCCUCAAGAGAACAAGGCAACACUGACCUAUCUUUGUAAGAGCUUGAUUUGAAAACUGCAUUGAAAGCUGAGAUUAGGAAUUUUUACCUCGCUCCAAAUGUUUGCCUUGAAAUGGACUUAAAGCUUUCACAGAGACUAUUUUCUCUGGUGCAUUAAUUACUCAGGAGGCAUGAAUACCUAAAUGAACAUACCUGAUUUAGUUGUUGAAGUGGAUUACUCAAAUCACAUUAAGAUUACAGGUAUGUGUGUUCAGGAUUGAAGUGGCCACAAUGCGCUUGAGAAGUAAAUUAAGAUAAAACAAAUUAAGACUGCUCUAGUUCUGAAUGUCAACUUCUACUGAACAGUUUAAUGACAUUUAAAUAAAUUGUCUGAAUUAAUGCCUGCAGUUACCUCAGAUGAUACUCACUUCAUGUUUCUGUUCAGAAAGUCAUUCAGUCUUUGACUGCAUGGUUCUCUUGAUUAGCUGUAUCUCAAAACUUCUCUUAUUCAAGGGUUUGUUGCCAUAGUCAGAGAAAUUCUGAUCUUGCUUUUUGAACUAAACAUAAAAUAUAAGAACCAGAUACCAGCACGUUCUGCUUUUGCCAUUUUAUCCUGUAAUUUAAGUAGAUUUUCCUUAAGUGUGGGAUUUGUAACUUGAGUCACGGUAUUUGUUACAUUUAUCUGCUGUUGCCAAGACUAGACAUGUUACAUUGAAUGUAUUCUCCUUACAGGAGUAACAGGAGGUACAAACUUACGAGUAUCUAGUAAACUAGAUAAAAACUUACUCCUUGGAACCCUGAUUCAUUAAUUUGCUAAUUCACAGCCAAGUAUUCCUUCUCCACUCCUUUAUUAUCUGUACUCAAUAUUUUACACUCAACAAUCAACAAGUUUUUUGUUUGUUUUUUUUCUUAGUCCUACAGGAGGGUUUGGGGGUUUUUUGUUUUGGUUUGUUGGGUUUUUUUGUUGUAUAUGUAUGUACUGCAGAAGGCUGGUGUUUUGAGUGUCAUGACUGCUGCCAAGCCUGAGUAUUUGUGAAUGCUAUAUCCCUUCUUAAUACAAGUAUGAAAGUAACUUUAGCACAGAUAUUCUGUGGUUUUGUCUUGAG